UACGUAGGCAGCAAGCGUUGUUCGGAGUUACUGGGCGUAAAGGGUGUGUAGGCGGUUCCUUAAGUUUGGUGUGAAAUCUCCCGGCUUAACCGGGAGGGUGCGGUGAAUACUGAGGGACUAGAGUACGGGAGAGGAAAGUGGAAUUCCUGGUGUAGCGGUGAAAUGCGCAGAUAUCAGGAGGAACACCAAUGGCGAAGGCAGCUCGCUGGGACGGUACUGAUGCUGAGGCGCGAAAGCGUGGGGAGCAAACAGG
Molecule: ribosomal RNA, 253 nt
Filed under: uncultured bacterium
Lineage: Bacteria
Description: partial 16S ribosomal RNA
Rfam family: Bacterial small subunit ribosomal RNA
Source: RNAcentral